GAUGAACGCUGGCGGCGUGCCUAAUACAUGCAAGUCGAGCGAACAGACGAGGAGCUUGCUCCUCUGACGUUAGCGGCGGACGGGUGAGUAACACGUGGAUAACCUACCUAUAAGACUGGGAUAACUUCGGGAAACCGGAGCUAAUACCGGAUAAUAUAUUGAACCGCAUGGUUCAAUAGUGAAAGACGGUUUUGCUGUCACUUAUAGAUGGAUCCGCGCCGCAUUAGCUAGUUGGUAAGGUAACGGCUUACCAAGGCAACGAUGCGUAGCCGACCUGAGGGGGUGAUCGGCCACACUGGAACUGGGACACGGUCCAGACUCCUACGGGAGGCAGCAGUAGGGAAUCUUCCGCAAUGGGCGAAAGCCUGACGGAGCAACGCCGCGUGAGUGAUGAAGGUCUUCGGAUCGUAAAACUCUGUUAUUAGGGAAGAACAAAUGUGUAAGUAACUAUGCACGUCUUGACGGUACCUAAUCAGAAAGCCACGGCUAACUACGUG
RNAcentral lists this ribosomal RNA (497 nucleotides) under uncultured bacterium. RNAcentral describes it as "partial 16S ribosomal RNA". It matches the Rfam family "Bacterial small subunit ribosomal RNA", at positions 28 to 507 of the family's 1533-position model. The record is from RNAcentral.